Molecule: ribosomal RNA, 253 nt
Filed under: uncultured bacterium
Lineage: Bacteria
Description: partial 16S ribosomal RNA
Rfam family: Bacterial small subunit ribosomal RNA
Source: RNAcentral
UACGUAGGGGGCAAGCGUUGUCCGGAUUUAUUGGGCGUAAAGAGCGUGUAGGCGGCCGCACAGGUCCGUUGUGAAAACUGGAGGCUUAACCUCCAGACGUCGAUGGAAACCGUGCGGCUAGAGUCCGGAAGAGGAGAAUGGAAUUCCUGGUGUAGCGGUGAAAUGCGCAGAUAUCAGGAAGAACACCCGUGGCUAAGGCGGUUCUCUAGUACGGUACUGACGCUGAAUAGCGAAAGCGUGGGUAGCGAACAGG